This 403-nucleotide long non-coding RNA is filed under the name Mytilus galloprovincialis (Mediterranean mussel). The record is from RNAcentral. Lineage: Eukaryota; Metazoa; Mollusca; Bivalvia; Mytilida; Mytilidae.
GGCGGACAUGGAAUAUUGAAAAAAAUCCGCCUGAAGUAUCAAAGACCUUAGGCGAAAUAUUUACUACUUUCCUGUUGAGUUAACAGGAUUUCUGUAGUAAAAGAAAUAUCAUAGACGGAAUGCUGGACUUAGUAUAUUUGUUCAAGUUUCUUAGGAGGAAAUUGGACUUAAAAGAUUUUGUUCAAAUUUAUCAGGCGGGAAUUGUACUUAGAAAUUUUUUCUAACUUUUGAGGCAGAAUUGUUCUUUUAAUUUUUUUUUCAAAUGAAAAUGUAUCAUUACUGAUGAGAGAGUGCAUGGUGAUUAUUUGGGCCAUAAAGCCAGUAUUUGUACCCCCCUGAAAUCCAACAUAUUUUUAAAGAGUCUUAAAGAUGGCAUAUUAAAUUCAAUUAAAUUUAAAUUGUG